RNAcentral lists this unclassified non-coding RNA (334 nucleotides) under soil metagenome. RNAcentral describes it as "partial contains 5.8S ribosomal RNA, internal transcribed spacer 2, and large subunit ribosomal RNA". The stretch from base 1 to 120 matches the Rfam family "5.8S ribosomal RNA", at positions 35 to 154 of the family's 154-position model. The record is from RNAcentral.
GAUGAAGAACGUAGCGAAAUGCGAUAAGUAAUGUGAAUUGCAGAAUUCAGUGAAUCAUCGAAUCUUUGAACGCACAUUGCGCCCGCCAGUAUUCUGGCGGCCAUGCCUGUUCGAGCGUCAUUUCAACCAUCAAGCCCUGCUUGCGUUGGGGUCCUGCGGCUGCCCGCAGGCCCUGAAAACCAGUGGCGGGCUCGCUAGUCACACCGAGCGCAGUAAUACAUCUCGCUUUGGGCGUGCGGCGGGUUCUUGCCGUUAAACACCCCCUUUUUACCAAGGUUGACCUCGGAUCAGGUAGGAAUACCCGCUGAACUUAAGCAUAUCAAUAAGCGGAGGA